RNAcentral lists this ribosomal RNA (453 nucleotides) under Microbacterium sp. CT28. RNAcentral describes it as "bacterial SSU rRNA". It matches the Rfam family "Bacterial small subunit ribosomal RNA", at positions 39 to 513 of the family's 1533-position model. The record is from RNAcentral. Lineage: Bacteria; Bacillati; Actinomycetota; Actinomycetes; Micrococcales; Microbacteriaceae.
GAGGGGGGCUACCUGCAGUCGACGGUGAACCAGCUUGCUUGGUGGAUCAGUGGCGAACGGGUGAGUAACACGUGAGCAACCUGCCCUGGACUCUGGGAUAAGCGCUGGAAACGGCGUCUAAUACUGGAUAUGAGACGUGAUCGCAUGGUCGUGUUUGGAAAGAUUUUUCGGUCUGGGAUGGGCUCGCGGCCUAUCAGCUUGUUGGUGAGGUAAUGGCUCUGCAACGCGUCCACGGGUAGCCGGCCUGAGAGGGUGACCGGCCACACUGGGACUGAGACACGGCCCAGACUCCUACGGGAGGCAGCAGUGGGGAAUAUUGCACAAUGUUCGGAAGCCUGAUGCAGCGACGCCGCGUGAGGGAUGACGGCCUUCGGGUUGUAAACCUCUUUUACCGUGGAAAAAGCAAAAGUGAGGGACCUUGUGAAAAACUCUCCCGAUACAUCCUUGUCAUUA